AUACGUAGGUGGCAAGCGUUGUCCGGAUUUACUGGGUGUAAAGGGCGUGUAGGCGGAGAUGCAAGUCAGGAGUGAAAUCUAGGGGCUCAACCCCUAAACUGCUUUUGAAACUGUAUCCCUUGAGUAUCGGAGAGGCAGGCGGAAUUCCUAGUGUAGCGGUGAAAUGCGGAGAUAUUAGGAGGAACACCAGUGGCGAAGGCGGCCUGCUGGACGACAACUGACGCUGAGGCGCGAAAGCGUGGGGAGCUAACAGGAUUAGAUACCCUGGUAGUCCACGCUGUAAACGAUGAAUACUAGGUGUGGGGGGACUGACCCCCUCCGUGCCGCAGUUAACACAAUAAGUAUUCCACCUGGGGAGUACGAUCGCAAGAUUGAAACUCAAAUGAAUUGACGGGG
This 396-nucleotide ribosomal RNA is filed under the name uncultured bacterium. Its description in RNAcentral is "partial 16S ribosomal RNA". It matches the Rfam family "Bacterial small subunit ribosomal RNA", at positions 523 to 918 of the family's 1533-position model. The record is from RNAcentral.